CGCGUGCAGGAUGAAGGCUUCGGGUUGUAAACUGCUUUUGUACGGAACGAAAAGACUCCUUCUAAUAAAGGGGGUCCAUGACGGUACCGUAAGAAUAAGCACCGGCUAACUACGUGCCAGCAGCCGCGGUAAUACGUAGGGUGCAAGCGUUAAUCGGAAUUACUGGGCGUAAAGCGUGCGCAGGCGGUUAUAUAAGACAGAUGUGAAAUCCCCGGGCUCAACCUGGGAACUGCAUUUGUGACUGUAUAGCUAGAGUACGGCAGAGGGGGAUGGAAUUCCGCGUGUAGCAGUGAAAUGCGUAGAUAUGCGGAGGAACCCGAUGGCGAAGCAAUCCCCUGGGCCUGUACUGACGCUCAUGCACGAAAGCGUGGGGAGCAAACAGGAUUAGAUACCCUGGUAGUCCACGCCCUAAACGAUGUCACUGGUUGNUGGGAAU
RNAcentral lists this ribosomal RNA (436 nucleotides) under uncultured bacterium. RNAcentral's name for it is "bacterial SSU rRNA". It matches the Rfam family "Bacterial small subunit ribosomal RNA", at positions 398 to 830 of the family's 1533-position model. The record is from RNAcentral.